UCAAGCGAACAAGUGCAUGUGGUGGAUGCCUUGGCGAUCACAGGCGAUGAAGGACGCGGUAGCCUGCGAAAAGCGGUGGGGAGCUGGCAAACGAGCUUUGAUCCACCGAUAUCCGAAUGGGGAAACCCGGCCCGUAUGGGUCAUCCGUAGCUGAAUACAUAGGCUACGUGAAGCGAACGCGGUGAACUGAAACAUCUAAGUAACCGCAGGAAAAGAAAUCAACCGAGAUUCCCAGAGUAGUGGCGAGCGAAAUGGGACCAGCCUGUACUCUUUAUUUGUAGUGUUAGCCGAACGCUCUGGAAAGUGCGGCCAUAGCAGGUGAUAGCCCUGUAGGCGAAAACAUUAUGAAAGAACUGGGUGUACGACAAGUAGGGCGGGACACGUGAAAUCCUGUCUGAAGAUGGGGGGACCAUCCUCCAAGGCUAAAUACUCGUGAUCGACCGAUAGUGAACCAGUACCGUGAGGGAAAGGCGAAAAGAACCCCGGGAGGGGAGUGAAACAGAUCCUGAAACCGCAUGCAUACAAACAGUCGGAGCCUCGCAAGGGGUGACGGCGUACCUUUUGUAUAAUGGGUCAGCGACUUACAUUCAGUGGCAAGCUUAACCGAUUAGGGCAGGCGUAGCGAAAGCGAGUCCGAACAGGGCGUUCAGUCGCUGGGUGUAGACCCGAAACCAGGUGAUCUAUCCAUGGCCAGGAUGAAGGUGCGGUAACACGUACUGGAGGUCCGAACCCACUAACGUUGAAAAGUUAGGGGAUGAGCUGUGGAUAGGGGUGAAAGGCUAAACAAACCUGGAAAUAGCUGGUUCUCUCCGAAAACUAUUUAGGUAGUGCCUCGUGUAUCACCUUCGGGGGUAGAGCACUGUCAUGGUUGUGGGGUCCAUUGCGGAUUACUACGCCAUAGCAAACUCCGAAUACCGAAGAGUGCAAUCACGGGAGACAGACAUCGGGUGCUAACGUCCGGUGUCAAGAGGGAAACAACCCAGACCGCCAGCUAAGGUCCCCAAAUAUGGCUAAGUGGGAAACGAAGUGGGAAGGCUAAAACAGUCAGGAGGUUGGCUUAGAAGCAGCCAUCCUUUAAAGAAAGCGUAAUAGCUCACUGAUCGAGUCGUCCUGCGCGGAAGAUGUAACGGGGCUAAGCCAUAUACCGAAGCUGCGGAUGCACAGUAAUGUGCAUGGUAGGAGAGCGUUCCGUAAGCCUGCGAAGGUGCACUGGAAAGUGUGCUGGAGGUAUCGGAAGUGCGAAUGCUGACAUGAGUAGCGAUAAAGGGGGUGAAAGGCCCCCUCGCCGUAAGCCCAAGGUUUCCUACGCAACGUUCAUCGGCGUAGGGUGAGUCGGCCCCUAAGGCGAGGCAGAAAUGCGUAGCUGAUGGGAAGCAGGUUAAUAUUCCUGCACCAUUGUUAAAUGCGAUGGGGGGACGGAUCGCGGAAGGUUGUCCGGGUGUUGGAAGUCCCGGUCCUUGCAUUGGAGAAGGCGCUCAGGCAAAUCCGGGCGCGGAAUUCAAGGGUGCGAGGCCAGUCGCUUAGGCGACGAAGCAAUCGGAAGUGGUUCCAAGAAAAGCCUCUAAGCUUCAGUUUAACAGGACCGUACCGCAAACCGACACAGGUGGGCGAGAUGAGUAUUCUAAGGCGCUUGAGAGAACUCGGGAGAAGGAACUCGGCAAAUUGGUACCGUAACUUCGGGAUAAGGUACGCCCCUGUAGCCUGACUGGCCUGCGCCAGGAGGGUGAAGGGGUUGCAAUAAACUGGUGGCUGCGACUGUUUAAUAAAAACACAGCACUCUGCAAACACGAAAGUGGACGUAUAGGGUGUGACGCCUGCCCGGUGCCGGAAGAUUAAAUGAUGGGGUGCAAGCUCUUGAUUGAAGUCCCGGUAAACGGCGGCCGUAACUAUAACGGUCCUAAGGUAGCGAAAUUCCUUGUCGGGUAAGUUCCGACCUGCACGAAUGGCGUAACGAUGGCCACACUGUCUCCUCCCGAGACUCAGCGAAGUUGAAGUGUUUGUGAUGAUGCAAUCUCCCCGCGGCUAGACGGAAAGACCCCAUGAACCUUUACUGUAGCUUUGCAUUGGACUUUGAACCGAUCUGUGUAGGAUAGGUGGGAGGCUAUGAAGCGUGGACGCCAGUCUGCGUGGAGCCGUCCUUGAAAUACCACCCUGGUUUGUUUGAGGUUCUAACCUUGGCCCGUGAUCCGGGUCGGGGACAGUGCAUGGUAGGCAGUUUGACUGGGGCGGUCUCCUCCCAAAGUGUAACGGAGGAGUACGAAGGUACGCUAGGUACGGUCGGAAAUCGUGCUGAUAGUGCAAUGGCAUAAGCGUGCUUAACUGCGAGACCGACAAGUCGAGCAGGUGCGAAAGCAGGUCAUAGUGAUCCGGUGGUUCUGUAUGGAAGGGCCAUCGCUCAACGGAUAAAAGGUACUCUGGGGAUAACAGGCUGAUACCGCCCAAGAGUUCAUAUCGACGGCGGUGUUUGGCACCUCGAUGUCGGCUCAUCUCAUCCUGGGGCUGUAGCCGGUCCCAAGGGUAUGGCUGUUCGCCAUUUAAAGAGGUACGUGAGCUGGGUUUAAAACGUCGUGAGACAGUUUGGUCCCUAUCUGCCGUGGGCGCUGGAUAUUUGAAGGGGGCUGCUCCUAGUACGAGAGGACCGGAGUGGACGAACCUCUGGUGUACCGGUUGUCACGCCAGUGGCAUCGCCGGGUAGCUAUGUUCGGAAGAGAUAACCGCUGAAAGCAUCUAAGCGGGAAACUCGCCUUAAGAUGAGAUAUCCCCGGGGCUUCGAGCCCCUUGAAGGGUCGUUCAAGACCAGGACGUUGAUAGGUCAGGUGUGGAAGCGCAGUAAUGCGUUAAGCUAACUGAUACUAAUUGCCCGUAAGGCUUGAUCC
This 2876-nucleotide ribosomal RNA is filed under the name Paraburkholderia caffeinilytica. RNAcentral's name for it is "23S ribosomal RNA". It matches the Rfam family "Bacterial large subunit ribosomal RNA". The record is from RNAcentral. Lineage: Bacteria; Pseudomonadati; Pseudomonadota; Betaproteobacteria; Burkholderiales; Burkholderiaceae.